AACUGCUGAAUCACUAGAUUGCACUCCUGAAACUAAUAUGACACUGUAUGUUAACUACACUGGAAUUAAAAUAAAUCUAAAUAAAAUAUGUG
Long non-coding RNA from Lynx canadensis (Canada lynx), 92 nucleotides. RefSeq lists it as uncharacterized. The record is from RefSeq and is a predicted model, not a curated record. Lineage: Eukaryota; Metazoa; Chordata; Mammalia; Carnivora; Felidae. The transcript has 3 exons.